Oncorhynchus gorbuscha (pink salmon) is the source of this 4130-nucleotide long non-coding RNA. RefSeq lists it as uncharacterized. Lineage: Eukaryota; Metazoa; Chordata; Actinopteri; Salmoniformes; Salmonidae. The record is from RefSeq and is a predicted model, not a curated record. The transcript is spliced from 4 exons.
AUCUAUCUAUCUAUCUAUCUACCUACCUUCCUUCCUUCCUUCCCUCCUUCCUUAGCUUCUUGCCAUCGAUGUAAUUGGUCGAACUGUCAAAUCAUGACACUAUUGAUCCCGCCCACGUGCGCAGCUACGCUGACUUGUAUAACAUGUUUGAUGCAGCUUUAUGUUUAAACCUAAUCAAUAUGAUUUACAAAUCAAAUAACAUGUACGUACACCAAAGAUGUACGCAGAGUUUGUCCAGUCUUUGAUGAGCCAGGAAACUAUGGCAACUAUGGCGUAUUUCUAAAUAAAUAUACUGUCCCUGAUAAUGAUAAACAACGACAAUGAAAUGUUGCAAUGUAAUGACGCUCUGUUGGAAACAGCCUAGCCAAUGUUCACUCAUAUUAAUAAUUUAACGAAACACGGUUGAGGACAUCAACUGCCUGGUUUGAAUGUAGUUGCAACAUUUAGAAACUUUUAUAAAUCACAUUUGGAAAUAAAACAAUAUAUUAAGGCAAUCUUCAGCUUUAAAAACGUCUUGCAAAAGAUAGGCAAGAGAGAUUAUGCCAACUCAUACUUUACACAACUCACACACGCGCACAUGUACGCGCGUACCCACACACACAUAUAGUCUAUGAUGAAAACUCUUUAUUGUUGUUGUACUUGAGAACAAUUAGAUCUACAGCGCAUUGUCCAUACAAUGAUGGGAUUAUGAGUUUGGGUCGAACAUUCAAACGUUUCGCCUGAGCUCAGCAAAGGCCAGAAGGACCAUGUCCCUCUCGCGCAGCUGACGGGGCUCUUUGCUUGUUCACCGCGCUUUUUCCCGAAAGGGCUCUGGAGACGGGACCAUUCAGGAGCCGGAACAAUAAAUGAGCGAGUUGGACGCCUCAUAAGCACUGAGUUUUGUAAAAGACACACAGACUAUGGAGCGCAGCCAAAAUGCCAGGAACAAAAGGCAACAAAUCUGACAAGAAAUCAGCCACCAAGCAACCUCAGAGUCCUAAGGAGCAACCGAAGAAAGCUGAUCAGAAAGGAGAUGACAACAAAAAGCAAGGAGGACAGCCGAAGGGAGAGAAGCAAUAAUUUCCAGGUAUUUGUAAAGAUGGCUCUGGAGACUCUGCUGAGAUCCUGCCAUCACAAGCAUGGGGGUCCUUGGGGUAGACAAGGCUGAAGAACCUCCCUUGGACCUGCAGACAGGCCAUCGCUACACAACUACGCUCACCUCUUCUCACAAGGGCAGAAAGUGACCCACAUUUCCAUCCGUGAUCCACUGGGUAUGCCCUUUCUUCCCACCCUGUUUCCCCUCCCUCAGUCUGCUCUGGAUUGUAGGAAGCUUGGAAAUGGAUGGUCACGAGGUCAAACUCAGCCAAUGAUCUGAGCUUCCCGAGAAACUGAGACCUUCAUCUACCCAAUUGUUCUCUCUUCCCACCCAAAGUUCCUUAUUUUGAUCAACUGUAACAGUCCAAACCAUUCUUGUAAAUAAGCAAAAUAACUAUUUCCUAAAACAGUCGUUACAUGUUCACACAGUAUAUGUUUUUGAAUUCUAUGUAAGAACAUGUCUGCUUGGCAGAAAUUGCUUACUCAAGGUAGCUUCCUUUAACAGUACUUCACAUAAACUUGAACCAAAGAUGAAUAGCGAUUCAGGUUUGAUACAAAAUGUAUUAAAAGGUAUCACAUAGCUCCCCCAGUAGCUUCACACAUAUUGUAUGUAAAAGUUUGACAAAACAAACCCUUGAGAUUAAUAUUUCACUAGGACAGUGGUGAAAGGUGGUGUGCUAAGGCUGUGCACUUGUGCCACAGAUAGAAUAACGAGACAGAUAUUUCACCAGAUGUAUAAAGGUGAAGUAUCCGUUAGCCGUUUCCACUCACUACCAAAUAUGGUAGAGAGGAAGCCCAGCGGCCAGCAGUGGGAGAAGAUGGAAGGAGAUGGCCAUUCUGCAAAUUAAACAUUUGAUCAAUACAGUUCUGCUACAAAAACUAUAAAUCAGUUAAGAACAAAGUGGACUAAGUUUUGUAGACUUUCCCGUUUAUCAAAGUAAAAUACAAAAAAAAUGCUUUGUUUAGGUGUGCAAAGGCAAAUUGAGUUAUUGUACACUUCAGAGUACGCAUUCCCUAACCGAAAUGUGCAGAUGCAUGCUAGAACAGGCCAAUAGGAUCUCACUAGCUCGUGCUUGGCUCUGCCCACCUCCUUGCUUGUUCUGCCCACUAUGACUAAUUUGUUUACAUUGGAAACAGGCUGUGGUCUAUAAAAAUAUUUUAUUGUGCAUUGCAAUGCAAAUGAGUUGAACCUUGUAUUCUACAGGAAAGCCUACUAAAUUAUAGUAUAUUUAAUAUCUCGUGGACAGAUGUACGUAAAUAUAACAGAUACUGUAGAAUCUGUCGGUAAGGAAUGGGAUGUGUGGGAUAACCAGCAGCAGUACGAUUCAGUUUAUGUGCAGUGUUCAGGAGCAGUAUGCAUUCCAUUAAAAAUAAAUUUCCUUAAAAGGCAUGUUUUUUAAAAAAGAGCAGGAUAUAGAAAAUGACCAAAGCCUUUAGUUACUGAUGCAACUUCAAACAUCAUCUUAAUUUUGCAUCGAAAACAGGAAGUUAUGUAUUUUCAUAAUCUGCUUUACAGCAACAUGAAGAACUCUGACUGACCAAGUAAAGACUUUAGUAUUCCUUCUUCACUGAACUACAAUAAUUUGUAAACUAUAUCACAGUUACAUAGUUAUUAACAGGACAAUGGGAAAAACUGGCUAACAUUUGGCACUGAUUGACAUGAUUAUUUCCAUAAAUAAAAUAAAUUAUAUUUCUACUAAAAUCCACAAAAGGAAAGUUGCUGCCUAAUAAUUAUGUUUUGUGCAGUCAUACAAACAGAAACUUUCUUAAUCUCCAACCUGGGUUUUAUUUACAUACUAUACAGAUGUAAUAACUAAUUAGGUUGUAUUAGAAAAAUAUAUAGCCUAAUAUAGAGAAACAGGAAAACAAUACUUAAAUGGCAUAUUCUGGAAUCACUUCUGAAAACGAGUUCUUAGCAGUCCAUAAGAGUGAAUGAAUGACCACUGCCAUGCUGACAGGGUGGGUAUCGAUUGAGAAUCACAGUGAGAUGUCAGAUAGCAGAUCCUGAUCAGUCUUUCCACAAGGGACGAAUGCAGCAGCUCAAAGAAAAUGUGAUUAAAAACAAAAUUAAGCGAUUAAUGAAGAGUGGGGCAUUAUUUUAAGAGUAUCAAAAAUAGUUUGUCACCAGCAGGUUACAGUAAGUAGAUAGCCCAAUCUCUUAGGCGGUGUCCUGAGCACUGCAUGUUGGUCUUGAGUAAAAUAGUUUCUAUACUGUACAGAGGGGUGGUUCAUUUCUCUCCACGUCUCUAUCCCCAGCUCGCUCUCUCUCACAGACACACAUUUAGAGGAUGAUGCGGUAGAGCACCCAGCAGCCAAACGUCACCCAGUGGCUGGCCCAGCUCAGCUCCGACCACUUCUGAAUGGUGUGGUUGGCCACGUCACUCUGUAAAGGGAGAGAACGUAGACAUGGGUUUGAAAUGUCUAACUCAACCAUAAUGCUUCGUUCUAAAAGAUCUGACGAUGACGCAAAGUCAUGUAUGCAUUUGACCAUCUUAGAGACUGACACCAUUUAGUAAAUAGUUACCUUUUCAUCCAUGUAGUCAACACUGGAGUUGAACAGAGAGCCCAGGUAUGCCAGGUGGAAGACAGCCAGGGUGCUGAAGGCUACGUUAAAGACGUACACCCACAGGACCUGUGUGGAUGGGCGGAGCAGAAGAGAUUGCAAACAUUCUUAUUGGUGAUUUUUUGGCAUUGGUUAAAGGAAAGGUUCACCCAUUUUGAACAUUGUGUUUUUGUGCAUCUUUGAGUGAUGUUCCCUGGGUCAUCAUUUUUAUUGGCGUUCAAGCAGGCAGACAUCCUUGCUGCACCCUGACAGUCGCUCUCACUACACUGGAAGGUAACAGGAAUACAACUUCUAGAUUAUGACAGACGUUUUCACACGUCAUAUUUCAAUACUGGUCGAUGUCAGAACUCCGGAGGACAUCUUUCGAAUGAGCCAUUGAUCAUAUUUUUGCGAUAUUCCUACCUUGAGAAAUACAGUGGGGUAAAAAAGUAUUUAUUCAGCCACCAAUUGUGCAAUUUCUCCCACUUAAAAAGAUGAGGCCUGUAAUUUUCAU